Molecule: ribosomal RNA, 349 nt
Filed under: Draco walkeri
Lineage: Eukaryota; Metazoa; Chordata; Lepidosauria; Squamata; Agamidae
Description: partial small subunit ribosomal RNA
Rfam family: Bacterial small subunit ribosomal RNA
Source: RNAcentral
AAACUGGGAUUAGAUACCCCACUAUGCCUGACUGUAAAUUACAAGCCAAAAAAGUACGAGCCACGCUUUAAACUUAAAGGACCUGGCGGUACUCUACAUCGACCUAGAGGGGUCUGUCCUAUAAUCGACAAUCCGCGAAAAACCCAACCAUCUCUUGCCAUCCAGCCUAUAUACCGCCGUCUCCAGCACAUUUUCCAAGAAAUGAAGCAAAACAGUCCCACACACUAGCACGUCAGGUCAAGGUGUAGCCCAUGAGAUGGAAGAGGCGGACCACAAUGCCGCAACACACAGAAACCACAUUGAAACAUGUGGAGGAAGAAGAAUUUAGCAGUAAGAGGGGCCGAAUGCU